UCCGGUUGAUCCUGCCGGACCCCACUGCUAUCGGGGUGGGACUAAGACAUGCUAGUCGUGCGCCUCCAAGCCACGGUGGAGGCGCGGCGCACAGCUCAGUAACACGUGGCUAACCUACCCUUGGGACAGGGACAACCCCGGGAAACUGGGGCUAAUCCCCGAUAGGUGAGGACUCCUGGAAUGGGUCCUCGCUGAAAGGGCGUCUAGACCAUGCUUCUAGACGCUGCCCAAGGAUGGGGCCGCGGCCGAUCAGGUUGUUGGUGAGGUAACGGCUCACCAAGCCUAAGACCGGUACGGGCCGUGAGAGCGGGAGCCCGGAGAUGGACACUGAGACAAGGGUCCAGGCCCUACGGGGCGCAGCAGUCGCGAAACCUCCGCAAUACGCGAAAGCGUGACGGGGCCACCCCGAGUGCCGUCCGCUGAGGACGGCUUUUCCCCAGUGUAGACAGCUGGGGGAAUAAGGGGAGGGCAAGUCGGGUGUCAGCCGCCGCGGUAAUACCCGCUCCCCGAGUGGUGGGGACGCUUAUUGGGCCUAAAGCAUCCGUAGCCGGCUGGACAAGUCCCCUGUUAAAUCCAGCGAUUUAAUCGCUGGACUGCGGGGGAUACUGUCCAGCUAGGGGGCGGGAGAGGCCGGCGGUAUUCCCGGGGUAGGGGUGAAAUCUUAUAAUCCCGGGAGGACCACCAGUGGCGAAGGCUGCCGGCUGGAACGCGCCCGACGGUGAGGGAUGAAAGCUGGGGGAGCGAACCGGAUUAGAUACCCGGGUAGUCCCAGCUGUAAACGAUGCGGGCUAGGUGUUGGCACGGCUACAAGCCGUGUCAGUGCCGCAGGGAAGCCGUUAAGCCCGCCGCCUGGGGAGUACGGCCGCAAGGCUGAAACUUAAAGGAAUUGGCGGGGGAGCGCCGCAAGGGGUGAAGCUUGCGGUUUAAUUGGAGUCAACGCCGGA
RNAcentral lists this ribosomal RNA (944 nucleotides) under uncultured archaeon. Its description in RNAcentral is "bacterial SSU rRNA". It matches the Rfam family "Archaeal small subunit ribosomal RNA", at positions 1 to 922 of the family's 1478-position model. The record is from RNAcentral.